Asparagus officinalis (garden asparagus) is the source of this 199-nucleotide long non-coding RNA. RefSeq lists it as uncharacterized. The record is from RefSeq and is a predicted model, not a curated record. The transcript is spliced from 3 exons. Lineage: Eukaryota; Viridiplantae; Streptophyta; Magnoliopsida; Asparagales; Asparagaceae.
AGCUGAAUCUUUGUUGUUGAAUAAUUGAAUUAGGGGUUGUGAUGUUUUGGAAUGAGUUGCUAAUCGAAUUUUGUUACUAUCCCUGUUACGGUUGCCUCGGCGGAGAGAAGUUUUUUCAAAUUGAAAUUGAUAAAAAGUUAUCUUCGCACUACCAUGUCACAUGAACGAUUGAAUGGAUUGGCAAUGAUAUCAAUUGAAA